UAUUUGUAGUAGGCAUUGAAUGAAUGUCUGUUCUCCCCGGUACUGGGCAAACAACAGCUCAGUAAACACUUGGCAGCUUCAGGUCAGUUCUGAAGAGCAUGUGUUAAAGGGGGUGGUGGCAUCAAGUGACCAGCCCCACCCUCCACCGCUGGCCACACCUUCCAUAGUGACCACACUGAGAAAACACUUAGAUGGACUGAUGGGUGUGAAUCCCUUGAGAGCAAGGCUGUAUCUUCUCUCUUGCACUUGCCAGCAUCUGGCACAGCUGGGUAUUAACCACACAAGACACAACUCCAGAGGCGGUGGCCCUGGAUGUCUGAAAUCCUGUCCAGAACAUUGAGAGAAAGCCAAAGAAGGAAAGCUGCCCUCAAACAUGCCCAGGAUCUUGCUGGAGAUGGAAACUAACAAGGAUGGAAACAUGACAGCAGAAAAAUACAGACCAGUUUGAAGUCUGCCCACCUGGGAGUCAAGCCACAUUGAAAUUCAAUAAGGCAUCAAGGCCGGGAGCUCGGAGAGCCGACUGGAUACCUGCGUGGGCCUCCUUUAAAGAGGGGAAAGCUUUGAAGUUGCAGACGACCAAUAAAAAUACAGCUGGCAUUUACAGCUUCAACUCCUCCUGCUUUUGCUUUUCACCGUGUUGCUAAAGCUGCCUACAAAGCUGCUCCAGGCGGGACUCUUGGCCCAGGUCGACAGAGCCCAUUCCCAUUCCAUGGACAAGAACAGGGGCUCUUGGUGUCCUCUGGCCAGGGAUUGGUGAUCAACUUUAGGCACGCUGGCAAUUUCCCAGAACAACCCCGUCUUAGGUUCUGAACAUCAGAGGCAGUGGCUAAGGUCCCCCAAAGCACUUUGGAAUGAGCCCAGGAAGUUGACCUUUGAAGCACUCUCCUGCUCUUGGGGCCAUGUCAUCAGGAAGAAACUCCAGGCUGAAAACACAACUGCAAGGCCAACAGGCAGGGGAGCAGCUUUCUCAGGACACCUGAGGUCCUGCCCCACCAGGCUCUGGUCUUUACACACCAUCUCUCACUGUCCUCCAGCCCCAACUGCACAUUGCCUUCCUCCUUCCUGAGCUCAUGCUUGCCCCUCCCUCAGCAUCUCCCUAGCCCCAGCCUGAAGGCUGACCUCCUCCAGAAAGCCUCUCCCUCACCACGAGGCCAGAAAGAGUCUGUCCUGUCUCUAGCUUCUGAGUUUCUUAGUCCCAACGACUGUCCCUGCUCCACUGACACCUUCCAUACACAGCUUUGUGAGCUGUGCGCAUCUGUGGGUACCAGAGGGUAAGUUCGAGGGCAAGCUGACGCCUACUGUCUCUACUGUCUCACAGAUCUGCAUUGGGUUUCCUUGGUCCCAAUCCCCCACAGACACACAUACAUGUACACACUCACACACACAACGCUGGACCAAUAGAGAGAACUUUAUCAGUAAAAUGUAACUAUUUCAUUACA
Gorilla gorilla gorilla (western lowland gorilla) is the source of this 1439-nucleotide long non-coding RNA. RefSeq lists it as uncharacterized. The transcript is spliced from 2 exons. The record is from RefSeq and is a predicted model, not a curated record. NCBI's taxonomy places the organism in Eukaryota, Metazoa, Chordata, Mammalia, Primates, Hominidae.